UAUCUGCUUGAAAUGGAAUGCACGGGA
Molecule: non-coding RNA, 27 nt
Filed under: Bombyx mori (domestic silkworm)
Lineage: Eukaryota; Metazoa; Arthropoda; Insecta; Lepidoptera; Bombycidae
Source: RNAcentral